Long non-coding RNA from Gadus morhua (Atlantic cod), 3324 nucleotides. RefSeq lists it as uncharacterized. NCBI's taxonomy places the organism in Eukaryota, Metazoa, Chordata, Actinopteri, Gadiformes, Gadidae. The transcript has 5 exons. The record is from RefSeq and is a predicted model, not a curated record.
UAUGUGGGGUGCGAUUGAGCCCCAUGUGUCCUAUUCUUAACCUGUUUAUAAUACGAUCUUCUUCGAUUUCUGCCCUAAUUCAUUCAAAGCUCGAAUAUGAUUUUGUAUUCCAGGCAGUCAGCCUACUUCACUUCAGUCCAACUUCUCUUGCAAUAUAUUAUUGGGCAAAACUGGCUAGACAUUGAUUGAUUACAUUUUCUUCUUAGGACAACAAGCAAAGCACCCAAUCGUUUCUUUGUAACGUUAGGCUACUUAUAUUACUAAACCUCAGAAUACAACCUGCUGAUUUCUCACAUAUAAAUGUUUAUACAAAAAUGAAUACUAAUUGAACGGCUUGUGUAUUUUAUUCAAGAAAGAAAUAGAAACAAACCGUAACUGUGUUCACGUUGAAUUUUAUCGAAAAAUAUAAAUAAUAUUUUCUUUAGAGUGUGUUGGCCAGGGUCCUUUCCAAUGCAUGUGCACCUUCUGUCUUUUUUCCUAAUCAGCCCAGUGUGCAUAAAGUAUCAUAGUUCUUUACACACGUGCGGUGGUGAAGUGUGGUGGGUUUGAGUUUCAGAGCACUGUGAUGCCUCGCUGUGACUUCUGCAGACAAGGAAAGAAGAAAAAGCGCUGGAAAUAAAGUUGAUUUCCCCGCUCAGUGAAUGGAGUUAACCGAUUCUUCUUUUUGAUUUACUAUCAAAAAUGGAAAGCAGUAGCACAGGUAUGUUUGUAUUUUGAAAUAAGCCAUAAAUUGAGCUUUCAACUAAACUUCCCAUGAUUGGUUGAGGAGGUGCUUUCAGACUUUUCAGAGUCAGAUUGAUCCCCCUUUCCCAGGGACGAGUCUCACCAAAGACAUAGCAAGCAUGUCUUUGAUGGACAGGUAUGAAGAGGAGGACUGUUCUGAUUCAGACGGCAGUGCUGAGCUUGAUGAAGAGGAUGAAGAGGAUGAAGGUGAUGAAGGUGGGCAGUGUCACUCUUCCAUUGAGCUUUGAGUCUCAAUGACGAGUUCUAGAGGAUUGGAACUGCGAGAAAAGUUCUCUUCUGAAGAUGAACCAGGUGGCCAACGGCAGACCGAGAGGAGAGCAAAGCCAAGGCCAAAGACAAAAGAGCAGUCAGUCAGAGUUGCUUCGACGAAUCCGUUCUCAAUUUGUGCAGGGAGUUUCAAACCCAGUUAUCAAAGGUCUCCUGGAUGACCUUUAUCAGCAUGAAGUGGUCAGUACUGAGGAAAAGGAAUUUGUGAUGGAGAACCAGAAGAUCAAAACGGACAUGGCUGAUAGUAUGAAGUUUAGGGACAAGCACUUGUGCUCCGACCUUGGUCUGAUCUCUUCUUCUGCUGCGGUGGCUGAGAUGUAACUAUGAAUUUCCUUUGUAAAGUCACUGCCGACUUUGUUUUGACAAGACAUUACAUUAAAUCAGCUGACAUAUUGUUGAUAUGUUUAGAAUAGGUCCUCCUUUCGGUGCUAGUACAUGUGUAGACCUUUUGUAUGGUCUCGGAAAAAUCACGGAAAUGUUUAGUUUCCCAAGAGGAAGCUAAAGUUUUGUUUUUUUAUCUAUUAUUUUAAAUGUUCAGGCGGAUGCUAUACGCAGCCAGAUUUGCAGAUCGGCUGCGGUACAUGUUGGACAAAACUUGACAAGAUCCACAAAUGCAUACAAACGAGUUCACAUGUGGUAAUCUGAUGUGAAAGAGGGUGUGGACUUUAAGUUACAAAACACAAGUCAACUUUAUGGAUUUCUCCAUUGUGAUCUGUUCUGAAAGUUUGUUUAGAUAUCCUUUUUACAAAGGAAAAGUAAACAAUAUUUGUGAUUUUUGGUAACGAAACGUGAAUUGUCUUCUAUUGGUAACAAGUUACUCACUUCCUUUUACAUGCAUGGUGCCACCUGCAGGUGUAUGCUAUGACCGCAUCCAGAUUGGUACAUGGGACAAAAUUUGAUCUUGAUUGCAAAUCUAAAGUGAAAAAUUACUAUGGACACUGCCAUCAGUGUGUGUAAAAUUGGUUGCAAGUAGCUAUGAAUGAAAGCGUCCGCUAAAUGCAAAUGUUAUUUCCUCACUUCAGGGUAAGCUGCAGUAAUAAAUAAACCUGGCACUGCUUCACCCUCCCUUUAAUUUGAUUAUUUUGUUAGUUUAAAAAUACAAAUUGUUGAAACAACAAUAAUGACGCAUGGAGGCAGAGUUAAAGUAUUUACCGGUUAUGAAAAUCAGAACCAUGUGGGGUCAUCCCCAGCACCAGAAAGGUCCAUGUCCUCCUAGUCCCACUGAACACCGGUCUGCACCAUGCAGCACAACCCUUGGUGCGACAAAGGCCCCAAGACGCCAGGGCGAGAUGUAUGCCAGCGGGCCAUGGGGAGGCCAUAGACUGUAUGACAGGAUCAGGACCUUAUUUAGUCAAUGGUUAGCACUAGCGAAGGAAAACUAUUGUCGCUUCUUUGCGGAGCAGGUCAUACCUUCAGUGGGAUCACAAGAACAACGCGAGAGCCUAAGAAUACUACAUUACAGGUUAGGUCAUGGCAGGUCAUCCAGGCCAUUGUGUGGUUCCUCUUGACAACAUUUGCACCCAGUUGCUGGGUUGGUUGUUGCAAUGAUUAAAUAAACCAAUGAUAACCUGUCAGCAUAACUCACCGCAGUACUCCUCCGGACUGAAUGCUGCGUAUACACAGAAACCUUGGAAAACCUCAAAAUGAUCCAUGAUUCCUACACCUUUCCAAAGGAAACGCUAGAUUAAUUCCAUUUUAUACGUUCAAAGAUUGACACAAACAUUGAUCAGUUUUAUCCAUUUUCUUAAUAACAUGCUGGCAGGAUGUGGAUAACCUGAUGAAAGUGUGUGGAGUCCAGCCAUUUCAGAGAAAUCUAAAACUCUCUACAGAGCUUGGCGAAAUACAUUGUCCCACUUUUGUCUCCAGGAAUAAUCACUCACUUACUACAUUGUUCUGCUUCUUUUAUUGAACAUAAAGGCAAAAAAAAACACGUCUUGCACUGAAGUUGAAUUUAAUUUUGGAUUGACACUGUUUUUGUUCCAUCGUAACCUACUGGAUAAUUGUUAUCAAGUGCAAUUGUAUUCAAGCCAGUAACAAUUCAGAACAAUAACAGGCACGUCUUGUGCAAAUUGACCAGCAUUGGAAUAGCUCCUAUAGACACAGAAUACAAACAUGCCAGAGGAAAACGAUACAAAAUCAUUUGUUAUUCAUAUUAAUUUGGGAAGAUUCUCCAUGAGAAUAAUGUCCAUUCACGGAAACAAUGUAGAAAUCAACACUGUAUUCAUUGCUGUGAAGAGACUACCAAAACAGAAUUUGGUUAACAUUCAGUCCUUUACGCAAAAGACAACACAUUUUAUGUUACUACCAACAAAA